This 468-nucleotide ribosomal RNA is filed under the name uncultured bacterium. RNAcentral describes it as "partial 16S ribosomal RNA". It matches the Rfam family "Bacterial small subunit ribosomal RNA", at positions 28 to 507 of the family's 1533-position model. The record is from RNAcentral.
GACGAACGCUGGCGGCGUGCUUAACACAUGCAAGUCGAACGGAAAGGCCCUGCUUUUGUGGGGUGCUCGAGUGGCGAACGGGUGAGUAACACGUGAGUAACCUGCCCUUGACUUUGGGAUAACUUCAGGAAACUGGGGCUAAUACCGGAUAGGAGCUCCUGCUGCAUGGUGGGGGUUGGAAAGUUUCGGCGGUUGGGGAUGGACUCGCGGCUUAUCAGCUUGUUGGUGGGGUAGUGGCUUACCAAGGCUUUGACGGGUAGCCGGCCUGAGAGGGUGACCGGCCACAUUGGGACUGAGAUACGGCGCAGACUCGUACGGGAGGCAGCAGUGGGGAAUAUUGCACAAUGGGCGGAAGCCUGAUGCAGCAACGCCGCGUGCGGGAUGACGGCCUUCGGGUUGUAAACCGCUUUCGACUGUGACGAAGCGUGAGUGACGGUAAUGGGUAAAGAAGCACCGGCUAACUACGUG